Ipomoea nil (Japanese morning glory) is the source of this 161-nucleotide small nuclear RNA. It matches the Rfam family "U1 spliceosomal RNA". Rfam says of the family: U1 is a small nuclear RNA (snRNA) component of the spliceosome (involved in pre-mRNA splicing). Its 5' end forms complementary base pairs with the 5' splice junction, thus defining the 5' donor site of an intron. There are significant differences in sequence and secondary structure between metazoan and yeast U1 snRNAs, the latter being much longer (568 nucleotides as compared to 164 nucleotides in human). The record is from Rfam. Lineage: Eukaryota; Viridiplantae; Streptophyta; Magnoliopsida; Solanales; Convolvulaceae.
AUACUUACCUGGACGGGGUCAAUGGGCGAUCAACAAGGCCCAUGGCCUAGGUUGAUGACUUUCAUUGCACUUUGGAAGGGUGUUAACUUAAGGUCUAUCUUAUAGAUGGAGCCUACGUCAUAAUUUGUGAUAGAGGGGGCCUGCGUUCGCGCGGCCCCUAC